GCGGCUAUGGUGGUGGCGGUAGCGACGACUAUGGUGGCGGUGGAGUCUAUGGUGGUGGACGGGGUGGCGGCUAUGGUGGUGGUGGUGACGGUGGUUACGGUGGUGGUGGUGAUGGUGGCUAUGGUGGUGGCGGCAGCGGUGGCGGCGGCAGCUAUGGUGGUGGUGGUGGCGGCAGCGGCUAUGGUGGUGGUGGCAGCAGCUAUGGUAGUGGUGGGGGUGAUGGCUAUGGUGAUGGUGGCAGCAGCGGCUAUGGUAGUGGACGUGGCAGGGGCUAUGGUGGUGGUGGUGGACGGAAAGAAUCAUCGGAAGCCGAGGAAAGCUAUGGCGGAUGGAACGAAUCUUCUCACCGAGGAUGAACUUGUGAUUAAGAGUGUAAUAAUGUAUUAUUGAUGACUUAAUUAGCUGCAUGGUAUUAACUUGGGUAAAAAGAAUAAAGAGCUUUGCUAGUCAUGUUGAAGGGUUCCUUUUUGGUUCUACUUUCUGUGGCUCAACUUGUUUUUUUAUUAGACUGAAAUAACCAGUCAACUUUACUAAUGGUGAUUGCUUUCAUCUUUGCUUUCACCCUCCCUCCUCAUUAUACCUAAUUUCCAUGAUUAGGAGCAUCUAAUCACACCAGUUUCGGUUUGUUGCUACCCAAAUUCGAUUCAAUGUAAACACCUGGCAUGUGCUUUUUGAGUGUUUAUUCCUUACUCAACACAAUUCUUAACAAAC
RNAcentral lists this long non-coding RNA (711 nucleotides) under Prunus persica (peach). Its description in RNAcentral is "long non-coding RNA (PPER_LNC002722)". The record is from RNAcentral. Lineage: Eukaryota; Viridiplantae; Streptophyta; Magnoliopsida; Rosales; Rosaceae.